AGAGUUUGAUCCUGGCUCAGGACGAACGCUGGCGGCGUGCUUAACACAUGCAAGUCGAACGGAAAGGUCUCUUCGGAGAUGCUCGAGUGGCGAACGGGUGAGUAACACGUGGGUGAUCUGCCCUGCACUUCGGGAUAAGCUUGGGAAACUGGGUCUAAUACCGGAUAGGACCACGGCAUGCAUGUGCUGUGGUGGAAAGUUUUUAACGGUGUGGGAUGGGCCCGCGGCCUAUCAGCUUGUUGGUGGGGUGAUGGCCUACCAAGGCGACGACGGGUAGCCGGCCUGAGAGGGUGUCCGGCCACACUGGGACUGAGAUACGGCCCAGACUCCUACGGGAGGCAGCAGUGGGGAAUAUUGCACAAUGGGCGCAAGCCUGAUGCAGCGACGCCGCGUGGGGGAUGACGGCCUUCGGGUUGUAAACCUCUUUCACCAUCGACGAAGGCCCGCUUUUGGUGGGUUGACGGUAGGUGGAGAAGAAGCACCGGCCAACUACGUGCCAGCAGCCGCGGUAAUAC
RNAcentral lists this ribosomal RNA (515 nucleotides) under uncultured Mycobacterium sp. RNAcentral describes it as "bacterial SSU rRNA". It matches the Rfam family "Bacterial small subunit ribosomal RNA", at positions 8 to 526 of the family's 1533-position model. Lineage: Bacteria; Bacillati; Actinomycetota; Actinomycetes; Mycobacteriales; Mycobacteriaceae. The record is from RNAcentral.